Molecule: non-coding RNA, 131 nt
Filed under: Streptomyces sp. DSM 15324
Lineage: Bacteria; Bacillati; Actinomycetota; Actinomycetes; Kitasatosporales; Streptomycetaceae
Description: Streptomyces RNA 5676
Rfam family: Streptomyces RNA 5676
About the family: Identified by deep sequencing of transcriptome at the end of exponential growth phase. Appears longer on northern blot than sequencing transcript. This indicates processing step.
Source: Rfam by way of RNAcentral
AGAUGAGAGAUACACCCGCCCGCAGGUGACUGCGGGCGGACUCCAGGCCGGGGCCUCCCCAGCUUCGACCUGGUCGUGCCCUGGCGCACACAACAGGAGCCUCAGGGCUCCGCAUCUCCUCACCGAUCGGA